ACGAAGCUUCGGCGCAGUCCGCUGGGCGGGUUGGCGGGUUGAGGCGCGGGCUCGGGAUCCAGCGCUGUCAGGGCGCAUCUCCAAACUUUGACCAGCUUUAAUUUACCCUGAGCAGCGAACCACGCCGCAAGUCGGCCUCUUCUUGCAGAGAGAAAUGGAAAUGCCCAGAACAAAAGAGCUCUUAUCGCCCCAAAGCCUGGAUUUACUUAUCCUGAGGCGGGGAAACUGAGGCCCAGACCAGUUGGACCCUCCAGCAGUCGAGACACAGGCAGGACCGAAGAGUCAAAUCAACCUUGCUGAGAAGUGCAUCAAGUUUAAAACCAGACCUUCGAAAGGACGUCCUGCAGUUUUAAACAUGAUGCAAAAUAUAAACAAAUUACUGCACUGGACACCGCCCAGCUGCGGGGAAUCCAAAAGUCAACGGCAGGGAACAAGACAUCACCGCCGGAUGCUGUGUUUCACCAAGUCAGAGAAGCAAGGGACAGCUCGCUCCGUAGGGAGACCGAGCGGUGGGGUCACGGCCAAACCCAGGGCUGGAGAUGGGCCUGGGGCGGGGGGUGUUUCCUGUUGCUGCUGUAAUGGUCUUCAUGAACGAAGUGGCUUAAAACAACACAAGUUUAAUUUUUGUUGUUUUAUUUGA
This 640-nucleotide long non-coding RNA is filed under the name Sus scrofa (pig). RNAcentral describes it as "lncRNA (ENSSSCG00025024626.1, ENSSSCG00035043592.1)". The record is from RNAcentral. Lineage: Eukaryota; Metazoa; Chordata; Mammalia; Artiodactyla; Suidae.